Molecule: ribosomal RNA, 207 nt
Filed under: uncultured bacterium
Lineage: Bacteria
Description: partial 16S ribosomal RNA
Rfam family: Bacterial small subunit ribosomal RNA
Source: RNAcentral
CGCGUAGGCGGCUUGGUCAGUCGGGUGUGAAAUCCCUGGGCUUAACCUAGGAAUUGCAUUCGAUACUGCCUGGCUAGAGUGUGGUAGAGGGAAGUGGAAUUCCAGGUGUAGCGGUGAAAUGCGUAGAUAUCUGGAGGAACAUCAGUGGCGAAGGCGACUUCCUGGACCAACACUGACGCUGAGGUGCGAAAGCGUGGGGAGCAAACA